This 423-nucleotide ribosomal RNA is filed under the name uncultured bacterium. RNAcentral describes it as "bacterial SSU rRNA". It matches the Rfam family "Bacterial small subunit ribosomal RNA", at positions 355 to 775 of the family's 1533-position model. The record is from RNAcentral.
UGAGGAAUAUUGGUCAAUGGGCGCAAGCCUGAACCAGCCAUGCCGCGUGAAGGAUGAAGGUUCUAUGGAUUGUAAACUUCUUUUAUUUGGGAAUAAACCUCUUUACGUGUAGAGAGCUGAAGGUACCAAAUGAAUAAGCACCGGCUAACUCCGUGCCAGCAGCCGCGGUAAUACGGAGGGUGCAAGCGUUAUCCGGAAUCAUUGGGUUCAAAGGGUCCGCAGGCGGAUUUAUAAGUCAGUGGUGAAAGCCUACAGCUUAACUGUAGAACUGCCAUUGAUACUGUAAGUCUUGAAUUUGGUCGAAGUGGGCGGAAUAUGACAUGUAGCGGUGAAAUGCAUAGAUAUGUCAUAGAACACCGAUAGCGAAGGCAGCUCACUAGGCCAACAUUGACGCUCAUGGACGAAAGCGUGGGGAGCAAACAG